CUCUGCAUACCUCUAUUUUAAGUAACAUUAAAUAAAAGGAUAUUCUAAUAUAAUCAGAAAAGUCGGGUAAUCUUCAGAGCUUCCUAAUAAUGGAAUUUGAAUGAUGGUCAAACUACUAAUAAUAUGUUAAACUAUCCAGAGGAAGAAGUCAAGGAUUGGGGUGUGAUUUACUCUUUCCUUGGACAGCCAAGGUAAUCUGACAAAACAAAACCAUCCAAACUACAAGUCAAGAGGCUUGACAAGCUCUUCCUGGCUUCUCUGAAAUACAAUUCUGGCAGCAACUUUUGAAAGGACAUCAAUUCAAAUACAUAAACAGAAGGACGUGGAUUAAUACAAAGAGGACAACCCUGAGCUCAGAGAGUUCCUAUUUACAUCUCAAAUAACCAAAAAGUUGUGAUCACUCUUUAAAAGUGUAUGCACUGUGGGCCCUUCAUUUCUCUUUUCAGGUCCCUCUGUGGGAGCGAAUAGCAAGGGGACCGGACCUGGUGCAGAGUGUGAGAGAGGGAUUCCUGGUGAAAGGGACAAUGACACGAAGGCUGAAGGCAAGACCUUGCAGGCUUGGUUCAAAGGAGUCAUGAAAUCAUGUUUGAAAAGUACAUUUGCAGCCUUUAAAAAGGAGUAUGAAGGAGGGGUGCCUGGGUGGCUCGGUUGGUUGAGCGACCGACUUCGACUCAGGUCAUGAUCUCACAGCUUGUGAGUUUGAGCCCCACGUCAGGCUCUGUGCUGACGGCUCAGAGCCCGGAUUCUGUGCCUCCCUGUCUCUCUGCCUUAACCCACUGGCAUUCUGUCUCUGUCUCUCUUCAAAAUAAAUAAACAUUAAAAAAAAUUUUUUUAAAGGAG
This 840-nucleotide long non-coding RNA is filed under the name Felis catus (domestic cat). RNAcentral describes it as "lncRNA (ENSFCAG00000044194.2)". The record is from RNAcentral. Lineage: Eukaryota; Metazoa; Chordata; Mammalia; Carnivora; Felidae.